RNAcentral lists this ribosomal RNA (850 nucleotides) under Pseudomonas sp. AKB-2008-SL11. RNAcentral's name for it is "bacterial SSU rRNA". It matches the Rfam family "Bacterial small subunit ribosomal RNA", at positions 23 to 868 of the family's 1533-position model. Lineage: Bacteria; Pseudomonadati; Pseudomonadota; Gammaproteobacteria; Pseudomonadales; Pseudomonadaceae. The record is from RNAcentral.
CUCAGAUUGAACGCUGGCGGCAGGCCUAACACAUGYAAGUCGAGCGGUAGAGAGAAGCUUGCUUCUCUUGAGAGCGGCGGACGGGUGAGUAAUGCCUAGGAAUCUGCCUAGUGGUGGGGGAUAACGUUCGGAAACGGACGCUAAUACCGCAUACGUCCUACGGGAGAAAGCGGGGGACCUUCGGGCCUCGCGCCAUUAGAUGAGCCUAGGUCGGAUUAGCUAGUUGGUGAGGUAAUGGCUCACCAAGGCGACGAUCCGUAACUGGUCUGAGAGGAUGAUCAGUCACACUGGAACUGAGACACGGUCCAGACUCCUACGGGAGGCAGCAGUGGGGAAUAUUGGACAAUGGGCGAAAGCCUGAUCCAGCCAUGCCGCGUGUGUGAAGAAGGUCUUCGGAUUGUAAAGCACUUUAAGUUGGGAGGAAGGGUAGUAACUUAAUACGUUGCUACUUUGACGUUACCGACAGAAUAAGCACCGGCUAACUUCGUGCCAGCAGCCGCGGUAAUACGAAGGGUGCAAGCGUUAAUCGGAAUUACUGGGCGUAAAGCGCGCGUAGGUGGUUCAGUAAGUUGGAAGUGAAAUCCCCGGGCUCAACCUGGGAACUGCUUUCAAAACUGCUGAGCUAGAGUACGGUAGAGGGUGGUGGAAUUUCCUGUGUAGCGGUGAAAUGCGUAGAUAUAGGAAGGAACACCAGUGGCGAAGGCGACCACCUGGACUGAUACUGACACUGAGGUGCGAAAGCGUGGGGAGCAAACAGGAUUAGAUACCCUGGUAGUCCACGCCGUAAACGAUGUCAACUAGCCGUUGGGAGUCUUGAACUCUUAGUGGCGCAGCUAACGCAUUAAGUUGA